RNAcentral lists this ribosomal RNA (440 nucleotides) under uncultured bacterium. RNAcentral describes it as "partial 16S ribosomal RNA". It matches the Rfam family "Bacterial small subunit ribosomal RNA", at positions 338 to 795 of the family's 1533-position model. The record is from RNAcentral.
CCUACGGGGGGCAGCAGUGGGGAAUAUUGCACAAUGGGGGAAACCCUGAUGCAGCGACGCCGCGUGAGUGAAGAAGUAUUUCGGUACGUAAAGCUCUAUCAGCAGGGAAGAAAAUGACGGUACCUGACUAAGAAGUCCCGGCUAACUACGUGCCAGCAGCCGCGGUAAUACGUAGGGGGCAAGCGUUAUCCGGAUUUACUGGGUGUAAAGGGAGCGUAGACGGCAGCGCAAGUCUGGAGUGAAAUCCCAUGGCUUAACCAUGGAACUGCUUUGGAAACUGUGCAGCUAGAGUGCAGGAGAGGUAAGCGGAAUUCCUAGUGUAGCGGUGAAAUGCGUAGAUAUUAGGAGGAACACCAGUGGCGAAGGCGGCUUACUGGACUGUAACUGACGUUGAGGCUCGAAAGCGUGGGGAGCAAACAGGAUUAGAUACCCGGGUAGUC